This 513-nucleotide ribosomal RNA is filed under the name uncultured bacterium. RNAcentral describes it as "bacterial SSU rRNA". It matches the Rfam family "Bacterial small subunit ribosomal RNA", at positions 8 to 524 of the family's 1533-position model. The record is from RNAcentral.
AGAGUUUGAUCCUGGCUCAGGACGAACGCUGGCGGCGUGCUUAACACAUGCAAGUCGAGCGGUUCUUAAGCUGUAGUUUACUAUAGCUUAAGAAUAGCGGCGAACGGGUGAGUAACACGUGGGCAACCUGUCCGAAAGAUCGGGAUAACAGUCCGAAAGGGCUGCUAAUACCGAAUAUGCUUACCGGGUCGCAUGACCCGGUAAGGAAAGGUAGGCAACUUCUGCUUUCGGGUGGGCCCGCGUCCCAUUAGCUAGUUGGUAGGGUAACGGCCUACCAAGGCAACGAUGGGUAGCUGGUCUGAGAGGAUGGUCAGCCACACUGGGACUGAGACACGGCCCAGACUCCUACGGGAGGCAGCAGUGGGGAAUCUUGCGCAAUGGGCGAAAGCCUGACGCAGCGACGCCGCGUGAGCGAUGAAGGCCUUCGGGUUGUAAAGCUCUGUCAGAGGGGACGAUAAUGACGGUACCCUCAGAGGAAGCCCCGGCUAACUACGUGCCAGCAGCCGCGGUAAU